RNAcentral lists this ribosomal RNA (453 nucleotides) under uncultured bacterium. RNAcentral describes it as "bacterial SSU rRNA". It matches the Rfam family "Bacterial small subunit ribosomal RNA", at positions 340 to 783 of the family's 1533-position model. The record is from RNAcentral.
UACGGGAGGCAGCAGUGGGGAAUAUUGCACAAUGGGCGAAAGCCUGAUGCAGCUAUGCCGCGUGUAUGAAGAAGGCCUUAGGGUUGUAAAGUACUUUCAUCGGGGAGGAAAAAACAAAACUAAUAAUUUUAUUUCUUGACGUUACCCGAAAAAGAAGCACCGGCUAACUCCGUGCCAGCAGCCGCGGUAAUACGGAGGGUGCUAGCGUUAAUCAGAAUUACUGGGCGUAAAGAGCACGUAGGUGGUUUUUUUAAGUCAGAUGUGAAAUCCCUGGGCUUAACCUAGGAACUGCAUUUUGAAACUGAAAUACUAGAGUAUCGUAGAGGGAGGUAGAAUUCUAGGUGUAGCGGUGAAAUGCGUAGAUAUCUGGAGGAAUACCUGUGGCGAAAGCGGCCUCCUAAACGAAUACUGACACUGAGGUGCGAAAGCGUGGGGAGCAAACAGGGAUUAGCC